GUAAAGGGUGCGUAGGCGGCUUUGCAAGUCAGAUGUGAAAUCUAUGGGCUCAACCCAUAAACUGCAUUUGAAACUGUAGAGCUUGAGUGAAGUAGAGGCAGGCGGAAUUCCCCGUGUAGCGGUGAAAUGCGUAGAGAUGGGGAGGAACACCAGUGGCGAAGGCGGCCUGCUGGGCUUUAACUGACGCUGAGGCACGAAAGCGUGGGUAGCAAACAGGAUUAGAUACCCUGGUAGUCCACGCUGUAAACGAUGAUUACUAGGUGUGGGGGGUCUGACCCCUUC
Molecule: ribosomal RNA, 282 nt
Filed under: uncultured bacterium
Lineage: Bacteria
Description: partial 16S ribosomal RNA
Rfam family: Bacterial small subunit ribosomal RNA
Source: RNAcentral